Molecule: transfer RNA, 62 nt
Filed under: Chalcophora japonica
Lineage: Eukaryota; Metazoa; Arthropoda; Insecta; Coleoptera; Buprestidae
Description: tRNA-Asp
Source: RNAcentral
AAAGACUUAGUUAAAUAAUAACAUUAGCUUGUCAAACUAAAAUUACUAUAAAGUAGUCUUUA